CUGGCGGCGUGCUUAACACAUGCAAGUCGAACGGUGACGACCAGCUUGCUGGUCUGAUCAGUGGCGAACGGGUGAGUAACACGUGAGCAACCUGCCCUUCACUCUGGGAUAAGCCUUGGAAACGAGGUCUAAUACCGGAUAUGAGACGCACCGGCAUCGGUAGCGUCUGGAAAGAUUUAUCGGUGAGGGAUGGGCUCGCGGCCUAUCAGCUUGUUGGUGGGGUGAUGGCCUACCAAGGCGACGACGGGUAGCCGGCCUGAGAGGGCGACCGGCCACACUGGGACUGAGACACGGCCCAGACUCCUACGGGAGGCAGCAGUGGGGAAUAUUGCACAAUGGGCGCAAGCCUGAUGCAGCGACGCCGCGUGAGGGAUGACGGCCUUCGGGUUGUAAACCUCUUUCAGCAGGGAAGAAGCGCAAGUGACGGUACCUGCAGAAGAAGCGCCGGCUAACUACGUGCCAGCAGCCGCGGUAAUACGUAGGGCGCAAGCGUUGUCCGGAAUUAUUGGGCGUAAAGAGCUCGUAGGCGGUUUGUCGCGUCUGCUGUGAAAUCCUCAGGCUCAACCUGGGGCUUGCAGUGGGUACGGGCAGACUAGAGUGCGGUAGGGGUGACUGGAAUUCCUGGUGUAGCGGUGGAAUGCGCAGAUAUCAGGAGGAACACCGAUGGCGAAGGCAGGUCACUGGGCCGCAACUGACGCUGAGGAGCGAAAGCAUGGGGAGCGAACAGGAUUAGAUACCCUGGUAGUCCAUGCCGUAAACGUUGGGCACUAGGUGUGGGGCUCAUUCCACGAGUUCCGUGCCGCAGCAAACGCAUUAAGUGCCCCGCCUGGGGAGUACGGCCGCAAGGCUAAAACUCAAAGAAAUUGACGGGGGCCCGCACAAGCGGCGGAGCAUGCGGAUUAAUUCGAUGCAACGCGAAGAACCUUACCAAGGCUUGACAUGCACCGGUAACACUCAGAGAUGGGUGCCCCGCA
Molecule: ribosomal RNA, 974 nt
Filed under: Cellulomonas oligotrophica
Lineage: Bacteria; Bacillati; Actinomycetota; Actinomycetes; Micrococcales; Cellulomonadaceae
Description: bacterial SSU rRNA
Rfam family: Bacterial small subunit ribosomal RNA
Source: RNAcentral